GAUGAACGCUGGCGGCGUGCUUAACACAUGCAAGUCGAACGAAGCAUUUAGAACAGAUUAUUUCGGUAUGAAGUUCUUUAUGACUGAGUGGCGGACGGGUGAGUAACGCGUGGGUAACCUGCCUUGUACUGGGGGAUAGCAGCUGGAAACGGCUGGUAAUACCGCAUAAGCGCACAAUGUUGCAUGACAUGGUGUGAAAAACUCCGAUGGUAUAAGAUGGACCCGCGUCUGAUUAGCUAGUUGGUGAGAUAACAGCCCACCAAGGCGACGAUCAGUAGCCGACCUGAGAGGGUGACCGGCCACAUUGGGACUGAGACACGGCUCAGACUCCUACGGGAGGCAGCAGUGGGGAAUAUUGCGCAAUGGAGGAAACUCUGAUGCAGCGACGCCGCGUGAGUGAAGAAGUAAUUCGUUAUGUAAAGCUCUAUCAGCAGGGAAGAUAGUGACGGUGCCUGACUAAGAAGCUCCGGCUAGAUACGUGCCAACAGCCGCCGUAA
Molecule: ribosomal RNA, 497 nt
Filed under: uncultured bacterium
Lineage: Bacteria
Description: partial 16S ribosomal RNA
Rfam family: Bacterial small subunit ribosomal RNA
Source: RNAcentral